AGAGUUUGAUCCUGGCUCAGAUUGAACGCUGGCGGCAGGCCUAACACAUGCAAGUCGAGCGGUAGCACAGAGAGCUUGCUCUCGGGUGACGAGCGGCGGACGGGUGAGUAAUGUCUGGGAAACUGCCUGAUGGAGGGGGAUAACUACUGGAAACGGUAGCUAAUACCGCAUAAUGUCGCAAGACCAAAGUGGGGGACCUUCGGGCCUCAUGCCAUCAGAUGUGCCCAGAUGGGAUUAGCUAGUAGGUGGGGUAACGGCUCACCUAGGCGACGAUCCCUAGCUGGUCUGAGAGGAUGACCAGCCACACUGGAACUGAGACACGGUCCAGACUCCUACGGGAGGCAGCAGUGGGGAAUAUUGCACAAUGGGCGCAAGCCUGAUGCAGCCAUGCCGCGUGUGUGAAGAAGGCCUUCGGGUUGUAAAGCACUUUCAGCGGGGAGGAAGGCGGUGAGGUUAAUAACCUCAUCGAUUGACGUUACCCGCAGAAGAAGCACCGGCUAACUCCGUGCCAGCAGCCGCGGUAAUACGGAGGGUGCAAGCGUUAAUCGGAAUUACUGGGCGUAAAGCGCACGCAGGCGGUCUGUCAAGUCGGAUGUGAAAUCCCCGGGCUCAACCUGGGAACUGCAUUCGAAACUGGCAGGCUAGAGUCUUGUAGAGGGGGGUAGAAUUCCAGGUGUAGCGGUGAAAUGCGUAGAGAUCUGGAGGAAUACCGGUGGCGAAGGCGGCCCCCUGGACAAAGACUGACGCUCAGGUGCGAAAGCGUGGGGAGCAAACAGGAUUAGAUACCCUGGUAGUCCACGCCGUAAACGAUGUCGAUUUGGAGGUUGUGCCCUUGAGGCGUGGCUUCCGGAGCUAACGCGUUAAAUCGACCGCCUGGGGAGUACGGCCGCAAGGUUAAAACUCAAAUGAAUUGACGGGGGCCCGCACAAGCGGUGGAGCAUGUGGUUUAAUUCGAUGCAACGCGAAGAACCUUACCUGGUCUUGACAUCCACAGAACUUAGCAGAGAUGCUUUGGUGCCUUCGGGAACUGUGAGACAGGUGCUGCAUGGCUGUCGUCAGCUCGUGUUGUGAAAUGUUGGGUUAAGUCCCGCAACGAGCGCAACCCUUAUCCUUUGUUGCCAGCGGUCCGGCCGGGAACUCAAAGGAGACUGCCAGUGAUAAACUGGAGGAAGGUGGGGAUGACGUCAAGUCAUCAUGGCCCUUACGACCAGGGCUACACACGUGCUACAAUGGCAUAUACAAAGAGAAGCGACCUCGCGAGAGCAAGCGGACCUCAUAAAGUAUGUCGUAGUCCGGAUUGGAGUCUGCAACUCGACUCCAUGAAGUCGGAAUCGCUAGUAAUCGUAGAUCAGAAUGCUACGGUGAAUACGUUCCCGGGCCUUGUACUCACCGCCCGUCA
RNAcentral lists this ribosomal RNA (1399 nucleotides) under uncultured bacterium. RNAcentral's name for it is "bacterial SSU rRNA". It matches the Rfam family "Bacterial small subunit ribosomal RNA". The record is from RNAcentral.